UGAGACCAAAACAGGAUUUUAAAAAAGUAACGAAUACCAGCCAAACAUUACACAAACAUGGUAGGCAGUACAUCAUAUAACAAAAUCCCGAUUUAAAUACAUCAUCAUUGUGCCCUAAAAAAUGGAUCUGUCCAAAAAUCCUACACCGUUUGUUGAUUGACCGAUCACAGCCAUCAGGCCACGACCGAUCGAUGACAGAAAAAAAGGGGGAAGAAACGACGCAAUUAUACUAUACUUAUUCCUCGCAAGUUGGUGAUAAAAAUCUCUGGUAGGUAGAAUAUAACUGACACAACAGUCUUCGAACUGGAGAUACAAACAUGAUGAACACAGAGGCGAAGUCGUCGCCACUUAUCUUAUCUCGAUUGUGUAGGGGAGCAGAGGAGGCCCGAGGCGUCCGCCCCGACCACCGAGAGCUCGCAUAUGCUGCACAGCUGACCCUCGACCGAGGGCACGAACCGGGACGCGCAGUAGGGGCAGGAGACGUCCUUCUGCCCACGGUAGAUCGGGACGAAGGUGGCCCCGCAGACGACGAACGGGUUUCUGAAGUCGUAGUUCAGCUGGUGGGCGUCCUUCCUGUCGCCGCAGGCCUGCAGGACCUGCCGGGCCUUCUUUGCCUGGGCCUCGUUCGGGCCGUUGUCCAGGAGCAUGCGGGCAAAGUUUGCCGCGGUGGCGUAGUUCCCACCCUUGAAGCAGAGGCCCAUGGCGCUGGUGAGGACGAGGCGCAUGUGAACCUUCUGCAGCUUGCAGUUGGUGAAGUAUGCUGCCAGCUCCUGCUGCCGGGUGGCGUCGUUUUUCAGCUCCUUCCUCUUGACUUCCAUCCUGAGACCAAGGACGUACUCCCUCACUAUCUCGAUAAGCUCCUUAACUUCAUCGACCUCUCUCCGUGAGUCCACGACAAGGAGCGGGAUGGUGUAGAGGAUGUUGAGGAACUGCCUCAGUGCCUCUGGGAACUUGCCCUCGGUUGUGGCUUUGUAUGCAGCCUUCAGCUUGUCGUCCAUUUGCGCAAAGCUAAACACAAGUGCAGGUGGGCCCCUCACAUUGGGACUGGCAGAUUCACUCCAGCCUUUCUCAACAGCAAUAGGUAUCACUGGAGCACUUGCAAAUGCACGCAGAAAGGUAUGACUGCCCAUAUGUGCAUCAAGAAACAAGGCCUUCAAAGGAGCAAAGUUCUUGAUGCCCAACUGGCGGCUAAGCAGACGCAUUGCUGUGUCAAAGUUCCCAGCUGCAGCAUGCUCCCCAGCAAGAGAUGACUUCUGAGUCCAGAUUUGACUGACAGGCAUGCCUGGUGUGGGAGCCACGAACAAAGCAGAGCGUUCCGGACCUCUAGCUUUCGGUGUAUCUGCCUCCGGUGGCAAUUCCAGAUCUUCGAGGUCCCAGCCACCUUCCUCGUCCCCAUCCUCUUCAUUUGUUUCACUUUCAUCAGCAUGGCCAGC
This 1433-nucleotide long non-coding RNA is filed under the name Triticum aestivum (bread wheat). RNAcentral describes it as "long non-coding RNA (TAES_LNC006504)". The record is from RNAcentral. Lineage: Eukaryota; Viridiplantae; Streptophyta; Magnoliopsida; Poales; Poaceae.